This 468-nucleotide ribosomal RNA is filed under the name uncultured bacterium. RNAcentral's name for it is "partial 16S ribosomal RNA". It matches the Rfam family "Bacterial small subunit ribosomal RNA", at positions 28 to 507 of the family's 1533-position model. The record is from RNAcentral.
GACGAACGCUGGCGGCGUGCUUAACACAUGCACGUCGAACGGGAAGGCCCUGCUUUUUUGGGUUGCUCGAGUGGCGAACGGGUGAGUAACACGUGAGUAACCUGCCCUUGACUUUGGGAUAACUUCAGGCAACUGGGGCUAAUACCGGAUAGGAGAUCCUGCUGCAUGGUGGGGGUUGGAAAGUUUCUGCGGUUGGGGAUGGACUCGCGGCUUAUCAGCUUGUUGGUGGGGUAGUGGCUUACCAAGGCUUUGACGGGUGGCCGGCCUGAGAGGGUGACCGGCCACAUUGGGACUGAGAUACGGCCCAGACUCCUACGGGGGGCAGCAGUGGGGAAUAUUGCACAAUGGGCGGAAGCCUGAUGCAGCAACGCCGCGUGCGGGAUGACGGCCUUCGGGUUGUAAACCGCUUUCGCCUGUGACGAAGCGUGAGUGACGGUAAUGGGUAGAGAAGCACCGGCUAACUACGUG